CCUACGGGCGGCAGCAGUUGGGAAUCUUGCACAAUGGGGGAAACCCUGAUGCAGCGACGCCGCGUGGAGGAAGAAGGGUCUAGGCUCGUAAACUCCUUUUUCAGGGAAAGACUUAGGACGGUACCCUGAGAAUAAGCUCCGGCCAACUACGUGCCAGCAGCCGCGGUAAGACGUAGGGAGCGAGCGUUGUCCGGAUUUACUGGGCGUAAAGAGCACGUAGGCGGUCUGUUAAGUGAGAAGGGAAAUCUCCAGCGCUCAACCCGGAAACGGCGUUUCAUACUGGCAGACUUGAGGAAUGCAGAGGCAAGUAGAAUUCCUGGUGUACCGGUGACAUGGGUUGAGAUCAGGAGGAAUACCAAUGGCGAAGGCAGCUUGCUGGGCAUCAACUGACGCUGAGGUGCGAAAGCGUGGGGAGCAAACAGGAUUAGAUACCCCAGUAGUC
Molecule: ribosomal RNA, 442 nt
Filed under: uncultured bacterium
Lineage: Bacteria
Description: partial 16S ribosomal RNA
Rfam family: Bacterial small subunit ribosomal RNA
Source: RNAcentral